GAGCAUGUAUCUCAAAGGAAAGAGUAUCGGAUUCCGAAUCCGAAGGUUGUAGGUUCGAGUCCUUCCUUGCUCA
This 73-nucleotide transfer RNA is filed under the name Ishige okamurae. RNAcentral describes it as "tRNA-Arg". It matches the Rfam family "tRNA". Rfam says of the family: Transfer RNA (tRNA) molecules are approximately 80 nucleotides in length. The record is from RNAcentral. Lineage: Eukaryota; Phaeophyceae; Ectocarpales; Ishigeaceae. RNAcentral also lists the same sequence under 1 other name.